Molecule: long non-coding RNA, 1625 nt
Organism: Sapajus apella (tufted capuchin)
Lineage: Eukaryota; Metazoa; Chordata; Mammalia; Primates; Cebidae
Exons: 2
Source: RefSeq, a predicted model, not a curated record
AGAAGGGUAGCACAUGGGGGCCAAGCGCUCUCAUGGGUGCAAAGGUGUCUAUUGUCUGUUUACGGUCUGCUUUUUAGAGUAUACUGGUUUUUACCUCAUAACAGGCCGGGCUUGUUUCUUCCUUGCCUUUCCUUGCAACCCUCACAUGAACUUUGACCUGAGAAUGGAGAACACUGAGAAUGAGCUUUGCAUAUAGUUCAGGUUAGCAGAAAGACACAAACCCAAGACCAGCUCACCUGGUGUCCGCCCUUGCUGAUAGGGAGGGACACACAAGAUACAGAGAAACCACAGAACACUUCCCCAUGGAAGUCGGUAUGAGUGUCUGUAGUCAUGACCACUGUAUUCAUUUUGCAUCUGUGGGCUGGUGAUAGGAAGCUGUUUGUGCUAAAAGAAUACUUUCCACAUAAGUUAACAGAAGUCAUUUUACAGGUAGCUGCAGCUUUUUCAUCAUUUUUACCUUUAAAAAUGUUGGGCUAUCCUGAAAAUGGAAGAGAGCAAAAGAAAAAGGAAAAGAAAAUGGUGGGCUAAAUCUUUAAAUUAUGGUUUAUGAGCUUAUUUAGCCUUCUUCUAGGUAAUUAGUUGGUUACUAUAAAAAAGUAAGUCCCUGCUUUGAGAGUACCUGACAGCAGUGGUAGAAUAAAUAACCUAACAUAGUGCCUUGAAAGAACAGAACACUAUCUGAACCUGGCUGCACAGCUACCUUUGUGUGAAGCAGUGCAGCCUGGCUCACUGUGUGAAGAGUAACCCAGAAGAACCAUCGUGUUCUCGUUACUGUUUACCUCUUUACUUAGCAUGAAUCAUCUUUUAUUCUUACUGCCAAAAAGUAUCUGCCAGAGUCCCGUCCACUUCCUGGCCAUAUGAUGUGUCAUCAUCUUUCUGAGAGAAAGGUGAUGCAGAGUCAUUGGAGACUUCUCUGAAACAUUAAAAUUAGUCUUCUUAUAAUUCCCACAGUUGAGCAGACACAGGUAGGAGUUAGGACUUACCAAUUCAUAUUGAAAACAGCAGAAUGGAAAGAAAUGACUUAAGGUUACGUGAUAUAACCUGAAAUAAACUAAGAAAGGGAAAUGGAGUUUAAAUAUUUCCUGUGUGACUGGUUUGCUUUGUCUUCAGUGAUAGGUAGAAUUAAGCAUUCAAUACUAUUUUAUCCUUGAGUCUGUCUAACUGACAUUUAAAAAUGUCAUCCGUGGAGCUGCCGAGUGACUUGUAACAUUAUCAAAACAGGUGUCACGUCAUUUAAUAUUUUUAGUCUGUUUUUUACUCACUUCUGUUACUUCUAUUUUGUGUCAUCAAAUCCGCUAUCAUUAUAAUAUUGUCAUGAAACUGAAUUUUAGAAAUAUGAUUAUUAGGUAGAGUUGAGGGAAGUAUAGAGUACACAUUAUUCAUAUUCAUGUUAAAGUGCUGAGAUUGUUUUGUGUGUGUAGUUAGAGCAGUAAUUCAGCAGUGAAUGAUGUCCUUUGCUUAGGCUCCCCUUGUUUAGAAUUACCACGGGGAGGGCAGUGGGCCCCUGGCUCUCACAGGCUGGCCAUUGGGUUGUGCUGAUCAGAGCUCAGGGCUCCAGGUGGCUCCAGCACUACAUGGAUAGACUGUUUUCAAGAAGGCUUAGGACAACACUGGGCUAAAGAAAA